Pristis pectinata (smalltooth sawfish) is the source of this 2567-nucleotide long non-coding RNA. RefSeq lists it as uncharacterized. The record is from RefSeq and is a predicted model, not a curated record. NCBI's taxonomy places the organism in Eukaryota, Metazoa, Chordata, Chondrichthyes, Rhinopristiformes, Pristidae. The transcript is spliced from 3 exons.
AAAUGGCCAGCUCUGGGUGCAGUGCUGCCCAGCAGAGGGAACGGACUCACCUCCUCGUUCUUGUACAGCCACACCUUGUCCCCACGGAUGGACACAUAGACCUUAUUCCGGGAAGCCCGCAGCUCCAGGUCCGGUUGGACGUGACGACCUCGAACUUCUGCUCACCGACGUAGGAGACCCGAGUGAUGGAUCUGACGGAGAUAACUCGCUUGGAGUAAACUUCCUGCAGGAUGCUGCUCGACCCGCUGAGUUCCUCCAGCAGAUGGUUUGUUGCUCCAGAUUCCAGCAUCUGCAGUCUCUUCUAUCUUGUGCCCCAUAAGCUGAGAUGGUGACACCCCUCACCCUUGACUCUCCAGCUAAGGGGAGCACCUAGCCUGUCUAACCCUGUCAGAGGUUUUCAAGUUCAAAUGAGAUCCCUUCAGAAGCCUGAAGUCCCACACCACCAGGUUCAGGAACAGCUACUUCCACUUCAACCAUUCGGUUCUUGAACCAACCGGCACAAUCCUAAUCACUACAGUUUGGCAACACUAUGACCACUUUCCACUAAAAUUGACUUUUUUUUGUUCUAAUUGUGUUCUUUCUUGUAAAAAUUGUGUGUAAUUUGUUUUUUGUGAAUGCUGCUUAUCUGAUGCUCUGUGCCUGUGAUGCUGCUGCAAGUAAGUUUUUCAUUGCACCUGUGCACACAUGGACUUGUGCACGUGACAAUAAACUCGACUUUGACCUUCUCAUUCUCCACUGGAAACAAACCCAAAUAGCUUCACCUGCAGGAACAGCAGAAGCUGUGGUGAAACUGAGCAAGAGGCACUGGAGAUCAUCUUUGAAAUGAAAACGUUUCAUCAAUUGCCUCUCCAGUCAAAGAGUCACUCGGAGUACUGUGUGCAGUUCUGGGCUCCUUAUUUAAGAAAGGAUGUGCUGACGUUGGAGAGGGUUCAGAGAAGAUUCACUGGAAUGAUUCCAGGAAUGAGAGGGUUAACAUAUGAGGAACGUUUGACGGCUCUUGGGCUGUACUCCUUGGAGUUCAGAAGAAUGAGGGGGGACCUCACAGAAACAUAUCAAAUGUUAAAAGGCCUGAACAGAGUAGAUGUGGCAAAGUUGUUUCCCAUGGUAGGGGAGUCUAGUACAAGAGGGCACGACAUCAGGAUUGAAGGGCGCCCAUUCAGAGCAGAGAUGUGGAGAAAUUUCUUUAGCCAGAGAGUGGUGAAUCUGCAGAAUUUGUUGCCACGGGCGGCUGUGGAGGCAAAGUCAUUGGGUGUAUUUAAGGCAGAGAUUGAUAGGUAUCUGAGUAGCCAGGGCAUCAAAGGUUAUGGUGAGAAGGCGGGGGAGUGGGGCUAAAUGGGAUAAUGGAUCAGCUCAUGAUAGAAUGGCAGAGCAGACUCGAUGGGCUGAAUGGCCGACUUCUGCUCUUUUGUCUUAUGGUCUAAAGCCAACAACCUUUUAUCUGCACCUCUUAGUCUUGUUCACAGUACUGAUACUAGUGUGUCAAGAAUGAAACGGCAGGUCGUUCACUGAUCUCAGUAUCAUUACACGAUCAAAUGCAGAAGUCUGAAAUAAAGUGCGAGUGCAGUAGUUUUUUCACAUUUACUGGAAGGGAACUCAGUCACAGGGUGUGCUGCAGCAACAAAUGCAGAAGUUUGAAAUUAAAUGUGAGUGCUGAUGGUUUUCACAAUUACUGGAAGAGAAUCCACACACAGGGAGUGCAAGUACGAUCUGCACGUCGCAGAUAGAAGCUGCUACCCUUCCUGUUACAGUAAUGGAACCCUCACCCGACCACUGCAGCACCCCCUCUGCAUCACUGUGGACCACAGUCCUUAAACAACCAGCAACUGUCCAAAUGGGUCCCAAGCCACGAAAGGGACAGUUCAGUAACUGCAGAUCACACUAAGGACCCAGUUGCAAUGGGAGGAUGGGCUCGACCACAGUUCUUGCAUUCCCAUAUUUUGGGAAGUAUCUUGACCUCCAACGUGCCUCACCCCAGUCACCAUCUCCUCUUACCCCGAGUCACAGCAUCCCCCGUCAUUGCCCAAUGCCCCCACAUCUAGCCCCUGCUAAAUACCAACCUGAACCGGCCUGUGCAACCUUAAUCCUCCCUCAGCAACAUUCAGAGCUACCAUCGGGCAGGAGGUACAGGAGCCUGAAGUCCCACACCACCUGGUUCAAGAACAGUGACUUUCCUAUAACCAUCAGGUUCUUGAUCCGACCUGCACAACCCUAACCCUACCUCAGCAACGGGACACUACAGACCACCUCUUGCACUACCGUGGACUUGCCACUGAUUAUUUUUUGUACUAAUGUUUUUUGUACUAAUAAGGGAAGCACGGUAGUGUAGCAGUUAGCGUAACGCUAUUACAGCACCAGCGACCCGGGUUCAAUUCCAGCCGCUGUCUGUAAGGAGUUUGUACGUUCCCCCCGUGUCUCCGUGGGUUUCCUCCGGGUGCUCUGGUUUCCUCCCACAUUCCAAAGACGUAUGGGUUAGGAAGUUGUGGGCAUGCUAUGUUGGUGCCAGAAGACUGGCAACACUUGCGGGCUGCCCCCAGAACACUCUACGCAAAAGAUGCAUUUCACUGUGU